GUGGGAUCAGAACGGGUCGGUGUGCCAUUUUGGGCCGUGUAAUUAAACACGUCCGAUCCUCUUUUCGUCAUGUGAUUUCCCACCACCUCUUUUGUGUUUGCGUUUUGCUCGGGAUGUGUGGAGUGUCGCUGGCUAUCGUGCCUCGGUCCCGUGUCGCACUGUAAAGGAAAGGUGGAGGAAGAAGAAGAGAGGUUAGUCUCAGCGGUGGGUUGUGAGGCGAGUGGUUCUAUGCGCUGGCUGCAAUCUACUGCCACAUUGGAUCGGCUGAGGCGAGUAGUCACGUGAGGCUGAUUCUCUUGUGCCUGUCCACUGUUUGAGUUGUUCGUUGCAUUUAAAUUAUCACCAUCGUGGUUUUCUACUUCUCCCCGUUUUUUCGCUCGUUGUCAUGUCUUCAUCCCCAGCAGGAAUGCGUCGCUUUGCGUGUGGAGAGAGUGGAGUCGCUGUCCGCUGCUUGUUCGGUUCGGACUGGAGAGGAUAUUGGACGGCAGAUGGAGCAGUGUGAUGACGGCAGAGAGGGAGAAGAAGGAGGAGGAGGAGGAGGAGGUGGUCCACCCCUGGAUUGAGGCCUUCUGGCUCCGGCUGCCACCUAGGUCGGUAAGUGCUGAAGUAUUAUAAAGUGCCUGCAGUUCCUGUCUUGUGAAUUAAUAUCAAAAUUGUAAUAAUAUUCCUAUUUGUAUAUCCUUUUUCCUUUUUCAUGCAGAACAAAUGACAAUAAGAGGACAAGUGCCAACAUCAGGUAAGUAUAAAGUUCAUGCAAGUGAAGAAUAAAUUAGAGUAGAUUAUUAAGGGGGGGAAAAAA
Molecule: long non-coding RNA, 799 nt
Filed under: Betta splendens (Siamese fighting fish)
Lineage: Eukaryota; Metazoa; Chordata; Actinopteri; Anabantiformes; Osphronemidae
Description: lncRNA (ENSBSLG00000006842.1)
Source: RNAcentral